UAUGUGUAUAUAUAUAUAUAUAUAUAUAUAUGCAUAUUUGUAUUUUAUUCGUGUAGUAUGAUUUAUGGAUAUUACAAGAAUUUAGGUAUUUAGAGUUUAAGAGUGUCGUUAAAAGAGUCUUGCGGUCCAGCUGUGUAAAUUUUUUUAUGUCUACGCAUAUAUAUGUAUACAUCAUACCUUUAUUCUCCAGCUUUCUCUCGACAAAUUAGUGACAGUGGCACUAGCAAAUAAAAAGAGGAACUACUGGCCUCGAAAGCCUUGCUCGGAGAUAACGGAUGCCUCUACAGUAAUGAAAAGUAAAAAAUUCGUGGUUUCACGGACACGAUCGCUCGUUUGAAUCACACGGCCGUCGAUUCACGCUCCACGAGGACGAGGAUUUCGAUUGUCGGGAUGGCGGAUAAAUAUUUGAAAACUAAAAAUGCCAGAAAUUAACCCAACGUUCAACGACGAAAUUUCAAUGGGACGUGGUCCACGGGAUUCGAAAUAUAUUAAUUUCGCAAUUCACUUUAUGGUAUCAGCCACGUGUAAUGAAAUUGACAUUACUGCAUACUGGAUUAAGGUCGAUUCACAUGCAAAACGUUGAACCUUCAUUCCGUCGCUUGAGUUACACAAGGAUUCAAGGAGGUUAAUGUUCGCUGAGUAAUUUUAACAAAAUAAUUGCUCCAGCACAGCGACUACCUACCGUCUUGGCAUUUCACUCUUAAUACUCGCCGCUACGAAAACGCUCCAUAAUUGGAAGCUGUAUCUGGCUACUUCCGCUUAGAGGAGCUAGCGCUAUUUACGAGGCUAAUAAAACGCAAAGGAGUCAAGAAGGCUUCGUUUCCAAUGCUCGUAUUUGUCCAGUGCGGUACAAUUACCUUAGAAUUAGUACUCGACGACACUUGCCCAUAAACUUUCAGUUUUAUGCUUUUUCAUGUGUUUUGUUUACAUGAGCUGCUACACGGGAGUACUCCUUGCUCGGAUCAAUUAUAUCAGCAACACCAUUAACUGUAUUCGCUCAAUGAUAAUCCACCUGCUGACCAGGUCCCCCAUCGUUCAUUCGUCCAGGAAUUACGUUAUUAGCAUCGUCUUACGGAGAUCCAGGACAAUCGCAGGUCUUCGGGUAGUCUAAGCAUUGUAAAAACAUUAUUACCGAAGAGAAACAAGGGUAGAAGAAGUGAAACAAGGAAUUUCAGCUGUAACUCUGUCUACACCCAACAGCCGUAUAAGUACGGUAUGUAUACAGUGGGAAAUGGCACUCGUAUCCCUGUAUAGAUAUACGAGAUGGGUGGUUCGAAAAGGUAGCGUAAAACGCGAGGAGGUUGGAUACUGACAAAAAGUUGGAACUAUUUGAUCGUAAACCGCUCACGUUGCGCACCUGGAAGCAAUCCUGCUGAUACGAAGAGCACAGGGACAGGCUGCUCUCGACAGCCGAGCGACUGUGCACACGCCUAAAGGGGUUUUCGUUAGAUUUCAUUUCACACCCAAUUACACUACAGAGAGAGAGAGAGAGAGAGAGAGAGAGAACGUGCGCCAGAGCUUCGGGUAAAAAUACACAAAAUAUACGUGUAACGGCAAGCAGGUAGGACAAGCAGGGUACCCUACAUGGGGAGCUUAACUGUAAGGUACCCAGACAACCAGGCGCCACCAGUUUUGUCUAUAUAUUCUACGCUUGACCAGUGCACCAUCGACGAUUGGCUGCUUGAACGGCCGAUUCUGGCAUACGUGCUCGAGCGACCACGCGAUCAUCCUACGCCUACCUCAAAGCACUGCGAAGCUUUUGUAACGAUUGUCUAAUCUGUCGUGGCAAUCUGUCCGGAUGGAAAUUUUGUAAAAACAUAAUUUCGCUGUCUACACCUGGGGACCGUAGAGUCCGGAUGGCUGGCGAUCAUAGGGAUUAAACUAUGUGUAUGUCACGUGGCCUUACGUCAGCUGUGCCCAUCGCUGCACAAUACAAUUCUAUUGCAUAACGACGCUGCUCCGAGCAUAAGAACUGUGCUACAGGAAGUGCAACCCCUUUGGCACAUAUGCGCCUUAGGUAUAAGGGAUGGCGUUGAAAGGUCGCAGAACUGUAGGGGGUUGGUUACUACCAACAAGGGAUGUCAAGAAACCGUUCAACCAGACGCUGUAAACUUUAUCGCACGGAUAAGACAGAAACUUAUAGACUGCAGAGAGCUAUAAAAAUUCAUCCCUUAUACAUUUACAUCAUAAUAUAAUGCUUGAUGUGGGUCGACGUACGAUUCGAGUGAAAUUUGUAUAAAAAAAUUUAUAUAAAAAAUAUCUCAUUGACGAUCAA
Molecule: long non-coding RNA, 2275 nt
Organism: Cephus cinctus (wheat stem sawfly)
Lineage: Eukaryota; Metazoa; Arthropoda; Insecta; Hymenoptera; Cephidae
Exons: 4
Source: RefSeq, a predicted model, not a curated record